AACGAACGCUGGCGGCAUGCCUAACACAUGCAAGUCGAACGCUUGCAGCAAUGCAAGAGUGGCGGACGGGUGAGGAACACGUGGGAACCUGCCCCUCAGUAAGGAAUAACAUCGGGAAACUGGUGCUAAUACCUUAUAUUGCUCGGAGUUUUCAAAGAAACCCCGAGUGAAAGAUUUAUCGCUGAGGGAGGGGCCCGCGUCCGAUUAGCUAGUUGGUAAGGUAAUGGCUUACCAAGGCACCGAUCGGUAGCUGGUCUGAGAGGAUGAUCAGCCACACUGGGACUGAGACACGGCCCAGACUCCUACGGGAGGCAGCAGUGGGGAAUAUUGGACAAUGGGCGGAAGCCUGAUCCAGCAAUGCCGCGUGAGUGAUGAAGGCCUUAGGGUUGUAAAGCUCUUUUGCCCACGACGAUAAUGACGGUAGUGGGAGAAUAAAGCCCCGGCUAACUUCGUGCCAGCAGCCGCGGUAAUACGAAGGGGGCUAGCGUUGUUCGGAGUUACUGGGCGUAAAGGGCGCGUAGGCGGCCCUGUCAGUCAGGCGUGAAAGCCCUGGGCUCAACCCCGGGAACUGCGCUUGAUACUGCAAGGCUUGAGGACGGGAGAGGUGAGUGGAAUUCCUAGUGUAGAGGUGAAAUUCGUAGAUAUUAGGAAGAACACCAGUGGCGAAGGCGGCUCACUGGACCGUAUCUGACGCUGAGGCGCGAAAGCGUGGGGAGCAAACAGGAUUAGAUACCCUGGUAGUCCACGCCCUAAAGGAUGCUGACUAGUUGUUCGGGAUUUACAUCCUGAGUAACGUAGCUAACGCGUGAAGUCAGCCGCCUGGGGAGUACGGUCGCAAGAUUAAAACUCAAAGGAAUUGACGGGGACCCGCACAAGCGGUGGAUGAUGUGGAUUAAUUCGAUGCAACGCGAAAAACCUUACCUACCCUUGACAUGUCACUAACGAAGUAGAGAUACAUUAGGUGCUCGUAAGAGAAAGUGAACACAGGUGCUGCAUGGCUGUCGUCAGCUCGUGCCGUGAGAUGUUGGGUUAAGUCCCGCAACGAGCGCAACCC
RNAcentral lists this ribosomal RNA (1054 nucleotides) under uncultured bacterium. RNAcentral's name for it is "bacterial SSU rRNA". It matches the Rfam family "Bacterial small subunit ribosomal RNA", at positions 28 to 1104 of the family's 1533-position model. The record is from RNAcentral.